This is a non-coding RNA of Cubamyces sp. BRFM 1775, 101 nucleotides long. The record is from the annotation of a GenBank genome assembly. Lineage: Eukaryota; Fungi; Basidiomycota; Agaricomycetes; Polyporales; Polyporaceae.
GCCCGUUUAGCUCAGUGGUAGAGCGCGCCACUCGUACACCUCGGUUCCGAUCGGGUUAAAGCGACAUGGUGAGGUCGGUUGUUCAAUCCAGCCAAUGGGCA